UCUUCGCAUCAAAUGGCAGAAUCAUGUUCCCAAGAAAGAUUUCCUCAAGCAAGCAAGAAUACCAAGCACGUUUGCACUCCUCACCCAAAGACGUAUGAGAUUGCUUGUACAUGUUAGCCGUAUGGAAGAUGGCAGAAUCUCCAAGGACAUACUCUACGGAGAGCUUGCUAGGGGCACUAGGUCUGUGGGAAGACGGUCGUGAAGAGAAAGAGUG
Molecule: long non-coding RNA, 214 nt
Organism: Octopus sinensis (East Asian common octopus)
Lineage: Eukaryota; Metazoa; Mollusca; Cephalopoda; Octopoda; Octopodidae
Exons: 3
Source: RefSeq, a predicted model, not a curated record